This 425-nucleotide ribosomal RNA is filed under the name uncultured bacterium. RNAcentral describes it as "partial 16S ribosomal RNA". It matches the Rfam family "Bacterial small subunit ribosomal RNA", at positions 354 to 796 of the family's 1533-position model. The record is from RNAcentral.
GUGGGGAAUCUUGCGCAAUGGGCGAAAGCCUGACGCAGCCAUGCCGCGUGAAUGAUGAAGGUCUUAGGAUUGUAAAAUUCUUUCACCGGGGACGAUAAUGACGGUACCCGGAGAAGAAGCUCCGGCUAACUUCGUGCCAGCAGCCGCGGUAAUACGAAGGGGGCUAGCGUUGCUCGGAAUUACUGGGCGUAAAGGGCGCGUAGGCGGACAGCUUAGUCAGAGGUGAAAGCCCAGGGCUCAACCUUGGAAUUGCCUUUGAUACUGGCUGUCUUGAGUUUGGGAGAGGUGAGUGGAACUCCGAGUGUAGAGGUGAAAUUCGUAGAUAUUCGGAAGAACACCAGUGGCGAAGGCGACUCACUGGCCCAAUACUGACGCUGAGGCGCGAAAGCGUGGGGAUCAAACAGGAUUAGAAACCCUGGUAGUCC